GACGAACGCUGGCGGCGUGCUUAACACAUGCCAGUCGAACGGUAAGGCUCCAGCUUGCUGGGGUACACGAGUGGCGAACGGGUGAGUAACACGUGGGUGACCUGUCCUGCACUUCGGGAUAAGCCUGGGAAACUGGGUCUAAUACCGGAUAGGACCGCACCGUGAGGGUGUGGUGGAAAGUUUUUUCGGUGUGGGAUGGGCCCGCGGCCUAUCAGCUUGUUGGUGGGGUAAUGGCCUACCAAGGCGGCGACGGGUAGCCGGCCUGAGAGGGUGGACGGCCACAUUGGGACUGAGACACGGCCCAGACUCCUACGGGAGGCAGCAGUGGGGAAUAUUGCACAAUGGGCGGAAGCCUGAUGCAGCGACGCCGCGUGGGGGAUGACGGCCUUCGGGUUGUAAACUCCUUUCACCAUCGACGAAGGGUUUCUGACGGUAGAUGGAGAAGAAGCACCGGCUAACUACGUG
Molecule: ribosomal RNA, 465 nt
Filed under: uncultured bacterium
Lineage: Bacteria
Description: partial 16S ribosomal RNA
Rfam family: Bacterial small subunit ribosomal RNA
Source: RNAcentral